GCCACAGCGGGUGCCUACAUUGCCUCCCAGACAGUGAAGAAGGUGAUAGAGAUCAACCCCUACCUCCUGGGCACCAUGGCUGGGGGUGCAGCAGAUUGCAUCUUCUGGG
Molecule: microRNA precursor, 109 nt
Organism: Choloepus hoffmanni (Hoffmann's two-fingered sloth)
Lineage: Eukaryota; Metazoa; Chordata; Mammalia; Pilosa; Megalonychidae
Source: Ensembl